CUACGGUGGCAGCAGUGGGGAAUAUUGGACAAUGGGGGAAACCCUGAUCCAGCAAUGCCGCGUGUGUGAAGAAGGCCUGCGGGUUGUAAAGCACUUUCGGUUGGGAGGACUGCUUCUAGCACUAAUAUUGUUGGAAGUUGACGUUACCUUCAGAAGAAGCACCGGCUAACUCCGUGCCAGCAGCCGCGGUAAUACGGAGGGUGCAGGCGUUAAUCGGAAUUACUGGGCGUAAAGCGCGCGUAGGCGGCUAGAUCAGUCGGGUGUGAAAGCCCCGGGCUUAACCUGGGAACUGCAUCCGAUACUGUCUAGCUUGAGUACAGGAGAGGAGAGUGGAAUUCCACAUGUAGCGGUGAUAUGCGUAGAUAUGUGGAGGAACACCAAUGGCGAAGGCAGCUCUCUGGCCUGAUACUGACGCUGAGGUGCGAAAGCGUGGGGAGCAAACAGGAUUAGAUACCCGUGUAGUC
This 464-nucleotide ribosomal RNA is filed under the name uncultured bacterium. RNAcentral describes it as "partial 16S ribosomal RNA". It matches the Rfam family "Bacterial small subunit ribosomal RNA", at positions 339 to 795 of the family's 1533-position model. The record is from RNAcentral.